UUGAAGUUGGAAACACGGUCAGUUGUAUGUACAUUAAAAUACACUAAACGAAUUGCAAACUAGCAAGAUUCUUGUAUCUAACCCAUAAUUGUAAAUUUUUACUUCGCUUCGAAGCAGACAUAUACCGAUGUGGAUCUUGUUUCAUGUAGGAAGAGGUUCCUCUCUGCUUGUACUCAGGCGUCAAGAGAGAAAAAGAGAAGGAAUAGAAAUUGGAAGAUGAAGCAAACCAAUACGAAAAGUUCAUACAAUACGAAUAAGCCUCUUAUAGAAUAACAUCUGAAUGCAUCAUGUACAAGUGCACUUGAGUUUGUUAAAAAUGAUCGUGUUCUUUUGUCAAACUCACAUUGCACUUUUCUCACAUGAUAUAACGAAUUGCAUAAAAAUUAACGGUUCAUACCAUAUUGAGUGUCGAAUUUAAUAAAAGUUUCACAAAAUUCCCAGCAAACACAAAGUAACAGUAAUAUACAUGUUAGUUAUAAUUUCCCACUCAUUAAUAUAAAUACAACAUAACAUACGUGUUAUGUAACAAUUACAUUGUUGAGUGGGAAAUUAUAACUAACAUGUAUAUUACUGUUACUUUGUGUUUGCUGGGUUGAAUCUUAAAAGUUUUGUGAUUAGAAAGAUAUAUAAAUAUGUUAAGUAAGAGAAAUCUUAACUUUAUCAUUAACAUUUAUUCAAGAGACAAAAUGAGAUAAAUAUUGUAUAUCCAAAUAAAACUUAAAUUAUAAAAAUUGAAUUAUAAUAUUUUAAGUAUUUGAGGAUCAUAUUUAUUAAAAAUUAGUAAUAACACUAAACUUUGUGCAUACAUAAAAAUGGUUGGGAUUUAAAUUUUUAUCUAUUUUACUGUGAGGAAGUAUAAGUUAUGUUAUCUGUUACUUUGUUUUUUUUCCUAGAACGCUCAUGAUUGAAUAUUCAUAUAUAUCUGUCAAGGGCUCAUAUUUUAUGCGAAAAAACAUACAGUCUGUAAUGAAUGACUAGUAAUAACCUGAUUAAUUUAUAACAUUUCAUUAUAACAACAUUUCGAUCUAAAAAAAUAUAUGUUACAUUCUUUGUGUGCAUAUAUAAAUGUACAUGUAAAUUGUAAAGUUCGUUUUUUAAAUAGAAAUAUGAUAAUCAUAAUGUUGACAAUAGAAUGCUAUAAAUAAAUCGAUUUCUAUUAAUCAUGUA
Long non-coding RNA from Ooceraea biroi (clonal raider ant), 1167 nucleotides. RefSeq lists it as uncharacterized. NCBI's taxonomy places the organism in Eukaryota, Metazoa, Arthropoda, Insecta, Hymenoptera, Formicidae. The record is from RefSeq and is a predicted model, not a curated record.